UUUUUUUUGUGUCCUCCAACAUAGUCAGUCCUCUUUCUCUGCAUGAGUUACUUGUUUUAAGAUAAAUUCCUCGAAAGCCAGAGUUGUCCUUGCUGAAGCCGAAUCGAGUCGUGUAAUGAGACGGUGGAGCUGGUGGCGAAGCAAGAAGAGAAGAAAAUAACAUUUGAAAAGCAAUUAUGAUACAACAAACAUGCACUCAACAAACAAAAAGAUUUGCCCAAAAUAUGGAAGGAAACACAACAUUUAACAGUAAAAAUUUCAAUUUGUUUCAUAUUUUUUAUACGAUGCAACUAUGUCAAAAACCUUUUGGAUACAAAAUAUGUUUUCUCCUCUCAAUAGGAUUUUUUCUCAGUUGCAAGAGCAACAAAUCAAACCCCAAACUACUUGCUUAAAGUGUUCGAACCUUCUGAAUCCCUUCAUAUAGAUAUUAAUAAUUAUUUUUCAAAUGUUCCAUUCCACAAGUCCAAGUACAUAGUCAAUUUGCUACAAAAAGCACAAACUUUGUAUAGCACAGAUUAGUAAACGCAACAAUAUUUAUGACUAGCCUCAGUAUUUUUAAUCACUGACCACCUUGUUAUGAAUGAAAUGCAAAAGAUAUUUUAUUGUAAAAUGAAAAGGCACAAAUUUGAUGAAAACCUAUCAGAUACUUUUCAUUUAUUAAAAGCAACCAACCAAAGUCGAUCAAAAUAAUUAGUAUUGCCUAUCAAUCUGUUAAGAAUAUUGCUCAACUCCAGAAACUCCAUUGGCCUAUUGACAUGCCUUACAUACAAGAAGAAUCGUGGACAGCAUAACAUCAUUUGGAUAUAUGAAUUAUAUCCAUACAUUAAACAAAUCGACCUGUACAACACAAAGAGAUACUUGUAUGUGUUCUUUACAGAGUAACUUCAGCCUCUACUUUUGUUUUGUUGAAAUCACAGAUUAGUGUACGGCUCCAUAAUCUUUUUGAGGGUGCAGAGAUUAUCAACGGUGGAGAGCCUGCUAUAAAGGUAGUGGAAAUGUGUUUCAGCUAACCAUGGAACAGUUUCCAGAAUGUUAAACAGGUAAAGUCUUUAUAGCUAGGGUAUAACAAAGUGUUUCAAUUUCUGCUGCAUGAAGCCAAACCCGAAAGAAUCUGGAAGCACAAUAACUUUCGAUCUAUAAAAUGGAAAAGGGGCAAAAACUUAUUUCUUAUUGCACUGCACGGCAUAAGCCAACUUUAUGGAUGCUUCUGAUAAAUUGGUGCAUGCAACAAAAUGAAAAUAAUGCAACUAACCUCCGAACAACCAAGAAGCAGCUUAUGCUUUGCUAGAUUUUGCCCAAAAGAAGCCCUUCUUUUUUGUAGGGUGACUAUCUAACAUGGAUCUGGAACCUUUCGAUCCAAAUGAAAAGUGUCGUUUCAGAAAAGGUUUUCCAAAGGAGAUCCUCCCACGAGAACUGG
This 1417-nucleotide long non-coding RNA is filed under the name Cicer arietinum (chickpea). Its description in RNAcentral is "long non-coding RNA (CARI_LNC001544)". Lineage: Eukaryota; Viridiplantae; Streptophyta; Magnoliopsida; Fabales; Fabaceae. The record is from RNAcentral.